This 433-nucleotide ribosomal RNA is filed under the name uncultured bacterium. Its description in RNAcentral is "partial 16S ribosomal RNA". It matches the Rfam family "Bacterial small subunit ribosomal RNA", at positions 29 to 507 of the family's 1533-position model. The record is from RNAcentral.
AACGAACGCUGGCGGCAUGCCUAACACAUGCAAGUCGAACGAGACCUUCGGGUCUAGUGGCGCACGGGUGCGUAACGCGUGGGAACCUGCCUUUAGGUUCGGAAUAACUCAGAGAAAUUUGAGCUAAUACCGGAUGAUGUCUUCGGCCCAAAGAUUUAUCGCCUUUAGAUGGGCCCGCGUUGGAUUAGCUGGUUGGUGGGGUAAAGGCUUACCAAGGCGACGAUCCAUAGCUGGUCUGUGAGGAUGGUCAGCCACACUGGGACUGGGACACGGCCCAGACUCCUACGGAAGGCAGCAGUGGGGAAUAUUGCACAAUGGGCGGAAGCAUGAUCCAGCAAUGACGCGUGAGUGCUGAAGGCCUUAGGGUUGUAAAGCGCUUUUACCCGAGAUGAUAAUGACAGUAUCGGGAGAAUAAGCUCCGGCUAACUCCGUG